UGAAUGGUCAAGGUUAGGCAUUGACCUUGAAUGGUUAAGGUUAAGUAUUGAUCUUGAAUGGUCAAGGUUAGACAUUGACCUUGAAAGGUUAGGCUAGGACAGGUUGUCGGGCAGCGAGUCUCACAAGAGUUGUUUGCAAGAUUUCGCAAUUUGGGGGUUAUCUUCUAGACACGACCCUCAUAAAAGAAGCUAAUUGCUCCUCUAAGUGUAACCCGGUGUUAUUCAGUUUUUUAUCCCAUUACGAAAGAUGUCGGCUUUAAUCAAAAACCAUUUACGAGGCCAGCAGAACUAUACUGUCUUUUAACAGAUUUGGUUGGGUGCCUCCUCAUCUGAGAAUUGCUGCUAUUGGGCAAAAACAAGUCUGCAAAAAGGUAUGAAUAUUGUCUCAUCCACUCCUACUCCCACGGUAUGUUUCUGAAGCUGCACCAUUUGGGGUUAAACCGGUUUUAUUCACUAUAUAAACCAAACAUAUUUGCCCAUUAGGGCAUCACAGUGCUGGAUGGAGGUGGUGAGAAUGACUGUGAGCACAGUGGUGGUUCUGAUGGUUGUACUGGGAUUGAUGACGGUGGUUCAAAUGAUGGAAGUGAUUAUAGAUUCAAGGCCUUUGACACCCUGUCCUCUUUUCUGUUUUCAUUUGUCUGUGCAAAUGAAAACAUAUCUGGUACAAACUUUGACAUUCACUUAAAGCAUCUUUUUUGUUGUUGUUGUUUUUUUUGCUGGGAAUGGGUGUUCUGGAUUCACAUGAAAACUUUGUAGAGUUUGUACAAAAAAAAAACACAUUGCUUUUUGCUAGUUUUUGGGGAUAUUUUCCAUUUCUCAUGAAUAAUAAUGCAAAUUUUUUUUUUUUACUACUAGGCAAGUUUGGUUGAAAGCUGUGAAUAAUCAUUGAGCCACUUUGCUUUAGUUCUGGUUACCUGUUCAAAGAAGUCAAACCUUUAAUGAUGCCACCGACUCAGUGCCAUUUGACUUUUACGUCAGUGGAGUGGAAACAUCAGAGGUCAAGAUAAAAAAAAAAAAAAAGUAAAUUCAGUAUAUUUUUACUGCUUUUACUCACUGGAGCUGUUUUGGUUGCCAGGUAACAGCCUGGAUUUUCACUUUGCAACUGCUCGAGCCUCAAAUGACUUCCACAGUAGACGUUUGAUCCUAUUUUGCUGUGUCUCGACUACAUGAUUACUAUGAAAGAAAUGCCUACUGUGCAGCGGCUACAAUGCAAUAUUAUUUAAAGUUACAGAAACGCUGUCAAGCUCUGAUAGUUACCGUUUGGUUUGGCAGUUACGCCCCCCCUGCUGGAGGACUCUUUAUUUUUUAAUGCUCUACAUCAGUGGGUGCAAUUUAUUGUGAAGUUUUAGAGUUGUGGUGGAGGACUCUUACUGUGAAAGGCUUGAGAGUUAUCCAGUGCCGGGCACUCUUAUUGUGAAGUUUCCUGAAGUUAAAGUGGAAAAGUAGGAUGCUUUUUUCUCUGGUGACACACAGACAGUGUAGCAGUAGUUUGUUUUGGACUCGCUCACAUUAGAUUAAGUUCAGUUUUUGCCUGUUCAGGACUCGCUAACCUUUAUGCUUUUUACUGUAGAAGUGCCCACAUGUAAAAAAAAAAAAAAAAUGCCUUUCAGUGCACCAACAGAUACACACACACACACACACACACAGAUUGAUUCAGUGCGUCUCCUCGCUGUUUCAUGUAGCUUGCUCCUGUGGAAUGAUGUUGAGUCUCAAGCACAGCAACAGUUCCUCCGACUGUUACUGAAAACAUUUUUCUCAACAUGUUGAUUGUGUUUCUGGUUUCUUUUUUUAUUAUUAUUAUUAUUAUUAUUUCUCAUUUGUUUUAUCAGCAGUUUUUAAUGUCCGUAGCGGCACCUAACUUAAUUCAGUGGUUUCAUUUUUUUUUUCUGUAUCGUGUUGACAUUGUACAAAGUGGUUGGAUAAAAAAAAAAAAAACAUGGAUGAAUGAAUGAAAGAAAAAACAAACAAAAAAUACAUGUAGGGAGUCAUCGGCAGCCUUUAACGGUAUGUUUUGCACUAAGUAUAGAGUGUUCAAGCUUCAUAUUAAAAAAAAAACUUUGCGCUUUGCGCUACAAUACAAUGAAAUUUGUUACUUUAUUUGUAAAAACUUAAUAAAUAAAAGUUGUUUAAAUGAAUUUGCAGUGACUGGACUUUAAAUCAACAUGAAGAUAGGAAUGAGAUUAAAUCAUGUCUCUCUGCUGUUUAUGUUUUAACAUCUAAUACGUUAUCUUUUUAACAGGCCGCUGGGUCACGAUGAACCACAACAGAUGGACAGACAGUGUAGGGCUUGGUAUUCAGCCUACUGUGAAUCAUGUCCAAAUGCAGCGUUUACAGAUUCAUUGAAGAUCAGUGAGAUAAAAUGUGACAACCGUCAGGAAACCACCAACAUUGAGGCUCCUGUUUAGCUGAGUGGAUUUUGGGAGUUCCCCUUCAGCGUGGCCUGAGGACAAGAAUGACCCUGCUUACACCAGAAGCUGCCCUUGAAUGAAGCAUUAAACCUUUAGCUGCUGCUGGACUGUGACCAGUGUGGACCAAGAUGCUGACUUGUGAUCUGGGUAAAUACAGACUGGAGGAGAUGGAGUGUGGCUGAACACAAACAAACACUGUGUAUCUCUAUACAGACCAUUAGUCCUGCAGCCAAAAGGUCGCCAGUAACAGACACUUUGUCCUGCCCUUGAGCAAGGCGCCGCAUCUCUACCUGCUCCCUCAGUGGAAGACGAGCUCGCAGCAGCUCACACGGUGUCCAUGAGGACAGGAGCACAGGUCCAGGUCUUCCUCCACAUAUCGGAUCGUUUCCAGGAGGAAGGUGCGCAUCUCU
Molecule: long non-coding RNA, 2818 nt
Organism: Sebastes umbrosus (honeycomb rockfish)
Lineage: Eukaryota; Metazoa; Chordata; Actinopteri; Perciformes; Sebastidae
Exons: 7
Source: RefSeq, a predicted model, not a curated record